CGCCUUUCGGCGACAACGUAAAAAAAAUAGAAAAUAACCACUCUCAUCGAACUCGUCUCUCUGGUAUCGUCUUUCCCUCUUUCCCCAAUGGAUUCACCGUCUUCAGCAAAACCAUCGGAGAAAUCGAGAAUCGAGAAAUUCGUGCGGAGAGUAAUAUCGCCGGCAGUCGUCGGCAAAAGGUGUCCGAUAUGCUUGAGAAACCUCAACGCCCGCGGAGCAGCGGUUCUCACGGGUUGCUCCCACGCUUACUGCUUGGGGUGCAUUCGCAAGUGGAGCGAUUUGAAGAGGAAGUGCCCUCUCUGCAAUUCCACCUUCGAUUCUUGGUUCUACAAGAUCGACCUCUCCUCUCGAAAAUUCCUCAAACAGCAAUUACCAGCUCUCUCCAAGGGCAAACCGGUCAUUCAUCGACCUCGAUCCACCUUAAUUGAUCGUCGACGGAUUAUUGAAAGAACAAGGGAAGAAAUGAACAAUGUUAACUGGAGAACCAGACCAUUGCCUUGGCGGCGAUCAUUUGGGCGGCCUGGGACCGUGCCGGCCCAUGUUAUCGAAGAAAGGAAGCUUCAAUGGCGAGCCAGUGUGUAUAAACGACGGUUGCAAGCUAUGCCUGGAUCUCCUGGGACUAGUUCUCAGCAGAAUGUACCUAGGAAUGAUUGUGAGAAAGAGAGAAUACUGCAGAGAAUAAAACCAUGGAUACGAAGGGAGCUUGAGGCUAUCCAUGGAGAUCCCAAUCCAUCAAUCAUUCUCCAUGUUGUAUCCUCGCUUUUCUUUUCGAGGCAUGAAAGGAAGUAUGAUAGCUCGUCUGGGCAGCUUUGUGUUGAAGACGACUUUCUGGCUCCUUUGAAGCCUUUCUUGCACAAUUGGACCAACAUGUUUUGGCAUGAACUUAGUUGUUUUGCAGAGAGUUCAUUUACCAUUGAAACAUAUGAUGCAGUAGUUGAGUAUAGACAGUUGGAGUAGUUUCCUAAUGAGUUGCGUUUUACUUUAACCGAUCUCUCAUCCUGCACUUUUGUCCACAUGUUAGCUAGCCAUAUCCAUGGCUUGAGACAUCAGUUCCUUCAGAGCUUGCUAGAGGAUAGUUGCCUAUUACUUGGGACUUCGCUAGAACUUCCCAAGUGGUAUCUCCAAUGGUCCUGUGACGGCUGCACUAUCAUUUGCAUAAGCAAUCAUUUAACAUGAUCAGCUUAGUGAGUGAGGGGUAAAUCAAGGUUCUAAAGCUAUGAUUUACCUGAGAGCAAAAAUGCUUAUUACAGUCAUUUUGCUUGAAGGUUGACAGAAGAACCAAGAAGCAAGAGCGGAGCAGAUGUUAAGGUUUGUCAAUUCGACCACUGCUGGUUUAGGAGCAGAUUAAGCAUGUUGGUCCAAUAUAGGGACAGGCUUGGGGCCAACCAAUAAACUAUUGCAGUUUGAUGAAAAGAGUUAAGAGAUUCUAUGUGACAACCUGAUACAUCAAGAAAUGAUCAAGUAACAAUGCAACAAAAUAAUACAUCUUGCAAGAACUACAGGUGCCUUUCACAAAGGCGUUUUUGUUAGUACAAGCUGAGAAUCUUGAUCGGGCAUGCAAUUGUCAUUCUUCCUCUGGCUCUUCUUCCUCUUGGAG
RNA transcript from Theobroma umbraticum, 1597 nucleotides. It is a transcript of the gene named RING/U-box superfamily protein, with no coding region annotated. Lineage: Eukaryota; Viridiplantae; Streptophyta; Magnoliopsida; Malvales; Malvaceae. The record is from RefSeq and is a predicted model, not a curated record.